Molecule: long non-coding RNA, 449 nt
Filed under: Homo sapiens (human)
Lineage: Eukaryota; Metazoa; Chordata; Mammalia; Primates; Hominidae
Description: HSALNT0050241
Source: RNAcentral
CCUCUCCAGGUGUUAUCACAAACAAUUACUCAGAUGAAGUAGAACACAUCUGACGAUUAGAAUAAAACUUGUGGAAAGGAGCAUAGGCAGAACAGAAUACUUCCUUCCAGAAUGUGUUGAGGCAGACUCAGUCUAGUUCCCUUGCUGCAUGUUAUACUUUCAUAUACAUCAGCGAUGAGAAGGUGAGGAGGAAGACGCGAGAACAGGGGGUGCUUAACGUUAACUGAGAACUUUCUAUGUGUCCACGAACAUGCCAAGAUUUUUGCAGGACCUGUCUAAGUCAACUUUCCAGACAAGCUUAUAAGGGAAACUUUGAGGAAAUGAGCCGUCACUGCUUGUCAUGAACUAUCAAUUAAUUUCUCAGCAAUUGUGUUGUCAACAAAUUUUCAAGACAAAUGUUUCAAUAAAUAAGUACCCAUCAAUUUUCAGUUCUCCAAAUUAUACUUUAG